RNAcentral lists this transfer RNA (126 nucleotides) under Lentinula edodes (shiitake mushroom). RNAcentral's name for it is "tRNA-Ile". It matches the Rfam family "tRNA". Rfam says of the family: Transfer RNA (tRNA) molecules are approximately 80 nucleotides in length. Their secondary structure includes four short double-helical elements and three loops (D, anti-codon, and T loops). Lineage: Eukaryota; Fungi; Basidiomycota; Agaricomycetes; Agaricales; Omphalotaceae. The record is from RNAcentral.
GGCCGACUAGCUCAGCUGGUUAGAGCGUCGUGCUAAUAUAGGCAUCCUGACCCGUCCCCGAAAUGGCUCGAGUGUCACACGGCUAUGUUUACGCGAAGGUCUUGGGUUCGAUCCCCACGUUGGCCA